RNAcentral lists this ribosomal RNA (481 nucleotides) under uncultured bacterium. RNAcentral's name for it is "partial 16S ribosomal RNA". It matches the Rfam family "Bacterial small subunit ribosomal RNA", at positions 28 to 507 of the family's 1533-position model. The record is from RNAcentral.
GAUGAACGCUGGCGGCGUGCUUAACACAUGCAAGUCGAACGAAGCAUUUAAGACCGAUUACUUCGGUUUGAAGUCUUUUAUGACUGAGUGGCGGACGGGUGAGUAACGCGUGGGUAACCUGCCUCAUCCAGGGGGAUAGCAGCUGGAAACGGCUGGUAAUAACCCAUAAGCGCCCAGUACCACAUGGUACAGUGUGAAAAACUCUGGUUGUAUGCGAUGGACACGCGUCUGAUUAGCAUGUUGGCGUGGUAACGGCCCACCAAGGCGACGAUCAGUAGCCGACCUGUGAGAGUGACUGGACACAUUGAGACUGAGCCACAGCCGAGACUCCUACGGGAGGCAGGAGUGCGGAAUAGAGCACAGUGGAGGAAGCGCUGAUGCAGCUACGCCGCGAGAGUGAAGAAGUAGGGCGCGAAGUAAAGCGCAAGCAGCAGGGAAGAUAGUGACGGUACCUGACCAGGAAGCCCCGGCUAACUACGUG